Molecule: long non-coding RNA, 281 nt
Filed under: Capsicum annuum
Lineage: Eukaryota; Viridiplantae; Streptophyta; Magnoliopsida; Solanales; Solanaceae
Description: long non-coding RNA (CANN_LNC015575)
Source: RNAcentral
AUACAUGACUGAACUUACUCAUGAACACGCGACUGAACAUGCAAUGGUAAAUGAUACAAAGUUUGAAAUAAAAACUGAGCAAGAAACUGAAUAAGCUUAAGGAAAGACAUUACCUUGGGCUGAUUCUGGAUUAGCGGAGAAGAGGUGAGGAUACUUGGUCCGCAUGUAUGCUUCUACUUCCCAAGUAUCUCCCUCAAGGGAUGAUUCCUUUAAAGAACUUUGACUAAGGUGACUUUUUUGUUCCUCAGUCUGCGAGUCUGAUAGUCAAGUAUUUCGACUGG